UACGUAGGGGGCAAGCGUUGUCCGGAUUUAUUGGGCGUAAAGCGCUCGCAGGCGGCUCGAUGCGUCGUGCGUGAAACACCCCGGCUCAACUGGGAGAGGUCCUUGCAUACUGGCGGACUUGAGGGGGGUAGAGGAAAGUGGAAUUCCCGGUGUAGUGGUGAUAUGCGUAGAUAUCGGGAGGAACACCUGUGGCGAAGGCGGCUUUCUGGGCCCUACCUGACGCUGAGACGCGAAAGCGUGGGGAGCGAACAGG
This 253-nucleotide ribosomal RNA is filed under the name uncultured bacterium. Its description in RNAcentral is "partial 16S ribosomal RNA". It matches the Rfam family "Bacterial small subunit ribosomal RNA", at positions 524 to 776 of the family's 1533-position model. The record is from RNAcentral.